GGGGACGACUGGUUUUGACAGCAAGAUUAGUAAAAUUGUAAGCAUACCGAGGACUGAAAUGAUGCUCGUUAAACUUAUUUCAACAAUUUAAAUGGCGAAAAUAAUUACGCUUUAGCUGCUUAAUAAUCCGAAUUAUAGUAAGAUUCAAGCCUCGGCACACAAGGUGUGCAAGCUAAAUGUCCACGGAAAGCCUUGGUUUACGGCGUUUCAUUUCUGGGCAUCAUAAAAGUAAACAUAGAAAACUUAGUACUUCGAUAAGUUUUCGAAAUUAAAGAAGAUAAGCUAAAAGUGGAUCGUUUUUAGUCAGCUUUUAGUCGAAAAUUAAAUAAAAACUAAGUAUGUAGAAAGCUCUUGAGCUACUUGUUUGGACCCGAGUUCGAUUCUCGGCGUCUCCACU
RNAcentral lists this transfer-messenger RNA (397 nucleotides) under Tenacibaculum jejuense. It matches the Rfam family "transfer-messenger RNA". From Rfam's summary of the family: Bacterial tmRNA, also known as 10Sa RNA or SsrA, is named for its dual tRNA and mRNA-like properties. Its role is to liberate the mRNA from a stalled ribosome. Lineage: Bacteria; Pseudomonadati; Bacteroidota; Flavobacteriia; Flavobacteriales; Flavobacteriaceae. The record is from RNAcentral.